Molecule: long non-coding RNA, 234 nt
Organism: Etheostoma spectabile (orangethroat darter)
Lineage: Eukaryota; Metazoa; Chordata; Actinopteri; Perciformes; Percidae
Exons: 3
Source: RefSeq, a predicted model, not a curated record
CCUGAGCAAAGGUAACAUGUGAGCAGCGUUAUUAUGGAACCACGCAACUUCUAGGCCAGUCCCGCCGUUCAAUAGCAUUCACACACUACUAUUGGCCAGGCGUCCAUGCUUAGGCAAGGUAACAAUCCCAAUUUGUUCAGGUCCAAUCCCCUGACCAGUCGGCCAUCCUAACCUUAACCACUCGAGGUCAAUGCCUAACCCCAACUAAUCGAGCUGCUUCGUAGGGCGGGACUU